This 76-nucleotide small nucleolar RNA is filed under the name Ornithorhynchus anatinus (platypus). RNAcentral's name for it is "Small nucleolar RNA SNORD83 (ENSOANG00000017239.2)". It matches the Rfam family "Small nucleolar RNA SNORD83". From Rfam's summary of the family: U83 (SNORD83) and U84 (SNORD84) are members of the C/D class of snoRNA which contain the C (UGAUGA) and D (CUGA) box motifs. They act as guanine methylation guides but lack complementarity to ribosomal RNA. The record is from Rfam by way of RNAcentral. Lineage: Eukaryota; Metazoa; Chordata; Mammalia; Monotremata; Ornithorhynchidae.
GCCACAUGAUGUUUUUUAUCGAGACAGAGCGCCCUGUGCGGAGAUGACCUCGAUCUAUCACCCUUGACUGAUGGUG